Small nucleolar RNA from Acomys russatus (golden spiny mouse), 141 nucleotides. RefSeq annotates it as small nucleolar RNA SNORA48. The transcript has a single exon. NCBI's taxonomy places the organism in Eukaryota, Metazoa, Chordata, Mammalia, Rodentia, Muridae. The record is from RefSeq and is a predicted model, not a curated record.
UGUUGGCAAUGGGCAAAGAGACACCUUGCUGGUGCUAGUGUUCUUACAUCAUCCAAAAGCAGAGCAGAUGGCAGUCCUUGGUUUGUCCUAGCUUGAUGCCUGGUUUGGUAGCCAAAGCUGUUUUAUUCCUAGGACUCAUAA